GAGACUUAGGCUAAUUUAAACCAGGGGCCUUCAAAGCCCCAACCAAGAGUGAAAAUCUCUUAGUCUCUG
RNAcentral lists this transfer RNA (69 nucleotides) under Epiplatys sexfasciatus (sixbar panchax). RNAcentral describes it as "tRNA-Trp". It matches the Rfam family "tRNA". From Rfam's summary of the family: Transfer RNA (tRNA) molecules are approximately 80 nucleotides in length. Their secondary structure includes four short double-helical elements and three loops (D, anti-codon, and T loops). Further hydrogen bonds mediate the characteristic L-shaped molecular structure. tRNAs have two regions of fundamental functional importance: the anti-codon, which is responsible for specific mRNA codon recognition, and the 3' end, to which the tRNAs corresponding amino acid is attached (by aminoacyl-tRNA synthetases). tRNAs cope with the degeneracy of the genetic code in two manners: having more than one tRNA (with a specific anti-codon) for a particular amino acid; and 'wobble' base-pairing, i.e. permitting non-standard base-pairing at the 3rd anti-codon position. Lineage: Eukaryota; Metazoa; Chordata; Actinopteri; Cyprinodontiformes; Nothobranchiidae. The record is from RNAcentral.